RNAcentral lists this ribosomal RNA (200 nucleotides) under uncultured prokaryote. RNAcentral describes it as "partial 16S ribosomal RNA". It matches the Rfam family "Bacterial small subunit ribosomal RNA", at positions 1183 to 1382 of the family's 1533-position model. The record is from RNAcentral.
UGUCAAAUCAUCAUGCCCCUUACGCCCCGGGCCACACACGUACUACAAUGGCGCAAACAAAGGGAAGCGAAGCCGCGAGGCGGAGCAAACCCCGGAAAAUGCGUCCCAGUUCGGACUGCAGGCUGCAACUCGCCUGCACGAAGUUGGAAUUGCUAGUAAUCGCGGAUCAGCAUGCCGCGGUGAAUACGUUCCCGGGCUUU